UACGUAGGGGGCAAGCGUUGUCCGGAAUUAUUGGGCGUAAAGAGCGUGUAGGCGGCCAGAUAAGUCCGCUGUGAAAUCUCGAGGCUCAACUUCGAGCUGUCGGUGGAAACUAUCUGGCUAGAGUCCGGAAGAGGAGAAUGGAAUUCCUGGUGUAGCGGUGAAAUGCGCAGAUAUCAGGAGGAACACCAAUUGCGAAGGCAGCUCGCUGGGACGUUACUGACGCUGAGACGCGAAAGCGUGGGGAGCAAACAGG
This 253-nucleotide ribosomal RNA is filed under the name uncultured bacterium. RNAcentral describes it as "partial 16S ribosomal RNA". It matches the Rfam family "Bacterial small subunit ribosomal RNA", at positions 524 to 776 of the family's 1533-position model. The record is from RNAcentral.